AACGCACAUUGCGCCCCUUGGUAUUCCGAGGGGCAUGCCUGUUCGAGCGUCAUUACAACCCUCAAGCAUUGCUUGGUAUUGGGCUCCGCUGUUCACUCAGCGGGCCUUGAAAUCAGUGGCGGUGCCAUCGAGGCCCUGAGCGUAGUCAAUAUCCUCGCUAUAGGGACCCGGUAGACGCUGGCCAUCAACCCCCAACUUUCUAAGUUUGACCUCGGAUCAGGUAGGGAUACCCGCUGAACUUAA
RNAcentral lists this unclassified non-coding RNA (243 nucleotides) under uncultured fungus. RNAcentral describes it as "sequence contains ITS2". The stretch from base 1 to 52 matches the Rfam family "5.8S ribosomal RNA", at positions 103 to 154 of the family's 154-position model. The record is from RNAcentral. Lineage: Eukaryota; Fungi.